AGAGUUUGAUCCUGGCUCAGAAUGAACGCUGGCGGCGUGCUUAACACAUGCAAGUCGGACGAGAAAGGCUGAUUUCGGUUGGCCGAGUAAAGUGGCGCACGGGUGAGUAACGCGUAGGUAACCUGCCCUUGUAUUUGGGAUAACAGAGCGAAAGUUCUGCUAAUACCGGAUGAGAUCCUGCGACGGGAGUUGGAGGAUGAAAGUCGGCCUCUUCGAUGAAAGCUGACAUACGGGGAUGGGCCUGCGUCCUAUCAGCUAGUUGGUGGGGUAACGGCCUACCAAGGCGACGACGGGUAGCUGGUCUGAGAGGAUGAUCAGCCACACUGGCACUGGAACACGGGCCAGACUCCUACGGGAGGCAGCAGUGAGGAAUUUCGCGCAAUGGCCGUAAGGCUGACGCAGCAACGCCGCGUGGGUGAUGAAGGCCUUCGGGUCGUAAAGCCCUGUCAGGUGGGAAGAAAGGUCUUAAGGAGAAACACUUGGGAUUUGACGGUACCACCAGAGGAAGCACCGGCUAACUCCGUGCCAGCAGCCGCGGUAAUACGGAGGGUGCGAGCGUUAUUCGGAAUUAUUGGGCGUAAAGCGCGUGUAGGCGGGGGAGCAAGUCUGAUGUGAAAGCCCUGGGCUUAACCCGGGAAGGGCAUUGGAAACUGUUUCUCUUGAGUACUGGAGAGGAAGGGGGAAUUCCCGGUGUAGAGGUGAAAUUCGUAGAGAUCGGGAGGAAUACCAGUGGCGUAGGCGCCUUUCUGGACGGUUACUGACGCUGAGACGCGAAAGCGUGGGGAGCAAACAGGAUUAGA
RNAcentral lists this ribosomal RNA (800 nucleotides) under uncultured bacterium. RNAcentral's name for it is "bacterial SSU rRNA". It matches the Rfam family "Bacterial small subunit ribosomal RNA", at positions 8 to 782 of the family's 1533-position model. The record is from RNAcentral.